GAUGAACGCUGGCGGCAUGCCUAACACAUGCAAGUCGAACGAACACACCGGGAGCUUUCGCUCUUGCCGGUGGCGGCUGACGGGCGGGUAACACAUGGAUCACAUACCUCUUUUACUGGGAUGAUAACGUGGGACAAGUUCUACUACUGCAUCAUAUAUCGUACCGGUUAGUGCAAGAGUUAUACACGCUUUUCGCGUUUUUAAUAGACGAAGCCGCGCCGCAUUAGCUAGUUGGUAAGGUAACGGCUUACCAAGGCUACGAUGCGUAGCCGACCUGAGAGGGUGAUCGGCCACACUGGAACUGAGACACGGUCCAGACUCCUACGGGAGGCAGCAGUAGGGAAUCUUCCGCAAUGGGAGAAAGCUUGACGGAGCAACGCCGCGUGAGUGAUGAAGGUCUUCGGAUCGUAAAACUCUGUUAUUAGGGAAGAACAAAUGUAUAAUUAACUAUGGACGUCUUGACGGUACCUAAUCAAAAAGCCACGGCUAACUACGUG
Molecule: ribosomal RNA, 497 nt
Filed under: uncultured bacterium
Lineage: Bacteria
Description: partial 16S ribosomal RNA
Rfam family: Bacterial small subunit ribosomal RNA
Source: RNAcentral